Molecule: long non-coding RNA, 6697 nt
Filed under: Nicotiana benthamiana
Lineage: Eukaryota; Viridiplantae; Streptophyta; Magnoliopsida; Solanales; Solanaceae
Description: long non-coding RNA (NBEN_LNC008333)
Source: RNAcentral
UUCUUGCAAGCAAAUAACACUAGAGGGACUUAAUUCACAUGAACAAAAUUACAGAGCAUGCUAGGAAUUCAAAUCACUUUUAUCAACCAACAUGAUAAUAUUAAUCUAGUAAAAGUAUAUCAUAGAGCAGAUCAAAUCUUCACGUCAGUUCAUGCUUCAACUUCGAGUUUGAUGAUCGACAAAGUACAAAAGGGUGUACCUGGAAAUUGAAGAAUAAAGAAAGGGAAACAAAUCAUCAGUAGGCAGCAGUGCACAGACAACAACAAGCAACGAUGAACCACAGCCAGCCCCAACUUAAUCAGCCCAGAAAUAGUUUGUAAACCUAGUAAAUCGUAGGAAAAACCAGCAGCAAUAAUAACCACAAAACAGUCAUCACAGUGCAAUUCAGAGACAACUUUGGCAAUCAGAAAACCCAAUUAGAAGGACUAGGACAGAUCAAAUGAAACCCAAAUUACUAGAAACCCAACAGAAAUUUCCCUCGAUCUUUAAAAUGCCAAAAUGAUCUUCAGGAAUGUGAUUCAGCUACCCAGACUAAAAUUCAAACGAAAAUCAAAUGGAGCAGUGUUUGUUUUUGAGUUUGGCCAUUUGUUGUUUUGGUUUUUCUAUUUCUGAAUACAUUUUUUUUUGUAUUUUUUUGUGUUUGAAUGCAGAGAACUAAUCUAAAACUGGAAUCAAAGAAAAUAAUUUUCUUGUGGGAUUUUGGGACUUAAAGAUUGAAGACCACUCAAAACUAUUUCAGUGAAUCAAGAGAAAGCUGAAAAAGCACUCAGAAAUUCCAAUGAAAGAGUAGAUUUGCAGCCAUUUGUAUUUUCAGAUUAUUAGCUCUCUAGUCCUUCCAAAAUUUUCUCUCUUGUGCCUUUUGAUUUUUUAGAAUGUUAAGGGUUGCCUUUCAAGGCAAAAAAGCAUGCCAUUUAAAGGCUUAAAGCAUAGGGCAGUUUUCAGGUUUUCCAUUUUACACAUAUCCCCCUUUUGAAUUUUUGUAUUUGCUUAGGUAACCCCCAAUUCCUGACUUUCUAUCAAAGUUUAAUCACCCAAAAUCUGAUAUUCCACUUAGGACCCCUACUAGAAACUUCUGAAAUUAGUUGCAAAAUAUUCCUCCAUGUUAGAUUACUUAAAAUACCCUCCAAAUCCCCCGAUAUUACUUAGCAAACCAAACAGAUUUGGGCUCAACCUGCACACCUUUGAGUUGGGUCACAGAUGACCAAAGGAGCCCCAAACUAAUUCUAGACCGGUCCAAAAUAGACAAUCGAUUUCAGAUUCUGACUCAACCCAAUAUUAGUUAAGGGAUAAGCUCCAAAAGAAAACAGCCCAACCAAAUAAUCAAAGUCAAAUGAACUAACUCAAUUAAUCACAUGACAAUAUUUAGACCAAGACCUGAUAAUAUUAACUAUAACAAAAUAGGCUUGAAGAAUUAUUAAACAACAGUUAACUACUAUGACUAAAACCCAACUUGAAUUUCGACUGAAUUGUUCAGAAGAAGAAGAAAGGAAAGACGGAAACCCAAAUACUCAGAAAGCAUCAACCAGAGAAAAAACUCACCUCACCGGACUUGACUUCGAACCUGGCUUCUUGACUUCGACACCAAACAGUAUCAACCUCUUAUUCUCUGUCAAGAACAAGUGGGCAAUACUAAUUCGCGACGAAGUCGACUCUAAAAACCUCAAAAAAGCUGGAGCAAUCGCCUUGCAUGCUCAGGUCUGGUCAUGAAUCUUAGAGACUCAUAGAUUUGAUUUAAUAUUGAAGACGGUUGGGGAGUAUUUGGGGAAGAUAGCUCAUGGAUUUAUUACGAGAGUGAUCUGGUGGUUCCGUGGAACUAGUUUGGUAGAGUUUGAUUGCUAGGACAUCAAUGGCCAUUGUUGACUUAGGGUUAGGAGAAGAGAGACAUGAGAGGAAGAAGACGACUCGUCUCUCUGAAAUUUCGGACAAAUAUAAGAGAUUAGGAACUUAGUUCUCAUCCGUUGGAUCCUGAAGGAUCAACGGAUGAGGUUCAACUAGGCAAAACGACAUCAUUUUAGAUAUCAAAUAGGCGGACCGGAUCAGGGCUAUAUUGGACCUCGGCGGUGUUAUACUAACUUGAACCUAACAAAUUUGGCCCAAACCUGGGCCAUUAAAACAACCUUCUUCCUUUAUUCCUUUUCUCCCUUUUGGUUAGUUCCUUUUAUUUCCUUUUUGUUGUUUUUUUCUACUUUAUAUUUUUUGUUACUAAUUUUUUGAUUUAUGGAGAAUAAAACAAAAACAUCAAACUAAACUAAUUAAUGCCUAAAGUUACUUUUAACACUACUUUGUGACUAUUUCAUAAUUAAACUAAAAAAAGUAAAAUGAACUAUUUUUUUGUGAUUUUCACGUUUUGUUCUAAAAAAAUAAUCCCUAAUUAAUCCUAAAAAAAUAAAAUUAUAUCCUACGUGCCAAUGCAUAUUUUGUAUUAACAUGCACAAAUAAAAUGCAAAUAAUUAUCACAAAAUGACCCCAAAAUUCACAAAAAAAUUGAAAAUUUAAAGAAAAAUUCUUUUGUUUGGAUUUUUGGGAAUUAUUCAUAUAUAGGGCAAAACUUAUGUGCUCACACCCACUGCUAUCAAUUCUUCUGACACUUUACUUUCUGAUUCAACUAGUUCCACUUCUAUUUCUCCAACAGUAUCUACACAUCCUUCUCCUCCUCCUUUUAGGAAAUCUACCAGAACUAUACAACAGCCCACUUACCUUAAAGAUUAAGUUUCUUCUUCUGUCCAACUCCCUGAACAAUAUCCUUAUCCAAGGUUUCUUCUAGUGAUAUGCAUGUGCAUGAGCCUCAGUUAUACCAGCAGGCUGCUUCAUAACCUGUUUGGUAAGAAGCAAUGCUAAAGGAAUUUUAGGCACUUGAGGCAAACCAGACUUGGGAUAUAGUACCUCUCCCACCUCACAAGGAGGCUAUCCUUUGUAAGUCGGUGUAUAAGAUUAAACACAGAGCUUAUGGCACAAUUGAAAGGUAUAAAGACAGGUUGGUGAUAAUAGGGGACACACAAGAUGAAGGCAUUGACUUUACUGAAACUUUAUCUCCUAUUGUCAAGUUCACCACUAUCAAAUGUUUGCUCACUCUUGUUGUCAAGUGGGGGUGGACUGUCUUUCAGCUUGAUAUCAACAAUGCUUUCCUCCAUGGUGACCUCCAUAAGGAGGUUUAUAUGAAGGUUCCUCUUGAUCUUAAGGUGUGCCCUUCUUCUGAUUCUAGUCUUUCUGGUCCCUUAGUCUGCAGACUCAAGAAGUCCAUUUAUGGCCUUAGGCAGGCAUCCAGACAGUGGUUUUCCAAGCUGUCUGAAGCUCUGCAUUCCAAAGGCUACAUUGCUAGUUUGAAUGACUACUCCCUCUUCACUAAGUUUUCUCCAGGUUAUCAAGUUGUGUUAGAUGUCUAUGUUGAUGAUAUUUUACUAGCUGGUAAUGAUGUUGCGGAGAUGGAGUCUUUAAAAUCAUUUCUGGAUGCACAAUUUAAAAUAAAGGACUUGGGUCCAGUACACUACUUCUUAGGUUGGAGAUAUCUUCCCAUCCUCAAGGUUACAUCAUGAGUCAACACAAGUUCACUAGUGAUCUCCUCUAUAAAUUUAAUUGGCAACACUUCUCCCCUGUGAUGACUCCCUUGGAUCCUUAUGUUAAACUUGCCUUGAAUAUGGAUGCUCCUGUUUCUUACCCUAGCUUAUACAGAAGAUUAAUUGGGAAGCUCAACUUCCUUCAACACACUAGGCCUGAUAUUUCUUUCUCACUCCAAUAUCUGAAUCAAUUCCUCCAAAAGCCACAGGUACCUCAUAGGUUGCUGCUAUACAUGUCCUCGGGUAUUUGUUAAAUGAGCGUGCCCAAGGUAUUCUCCUCUACAGCUCUUCUGAUUUAUCUUUGCAAGCCUACUCUGAUUCUAAUUGGGCAGCCUGCUCUAUAUCUUGCAAAUCAGUGAUUGGGGAUUACAUCACUCUUAGAGGUGGUCCUAUUUCUUGGAAGAUCAAGAAACAGCCCACUAUAUCCCUUUCUUCAGCAGAACCCGAGUAUAGGGCCCUUCGCAAAGUUACAGAUGAAGUCACUUGGCUAACUAGGCUUUCAGGUGACCUUGGUUUGACUGUUUCAGGCCAUGUUCUCAUAUUUUGUGACAUCCAGGAAGCUUUACACAUUGUUUAAAUUUCGGUUUUCCAUGAACGCACGAAGCACAUUGAAAUUGAUUGUCAUUAUGUGCGCACCUGCUUGUCUUCUGGUUUGAUCUCCUUACAGUUUGUCUCCAGUACUCAACAACUACCUAUAUUAUGACCAAAUCCCUUUCUGGUCCUCUACACCAUGGGAUUUUAUGCAAGCUUGGUGUAUUCUCAUCCUCAAGCUUGAGGGGGGGGGGGUAUUAGCUUAGAUCUGCCUCAGGCCCAAGAUGACAAAAGAAAAUAACAGGCCCAUUAAGAGAGCCGGCCCCAGUUUCAGUUUUCUCAUAUUCUUUGUAUCAUAGACUAGAGAUAUUUUCAUUAUAGUUUGUUUAGUAUAAUUGUUAACAUAUAUAUACAGGCUCACAUGAAUAGAGAGAGAACAGUUUUGGUUAAAGCAAAAAUAGGCCGACUCAUUUUUCAUUCUUCAUUUCUCUCUUUUUCUCUCUUCAUCUAUGACUGAAUAUUCUAUGGAUUAUCCAAAACUGUUACAUGGUUCAGAUGCCUGCCAGCAGAUCUACCUAUUUCCAGUGGCCUCUUCAGAAAAGGGCCCUAUAAAGAAAAGAACAAUUUGGCAAAGAGUGUUGAGCAAUCCAAUUAAUAUAUGAGCUGAUGAACAGAUAUCAAAUUAAAAUGGAAAGAUGGCACAAGAAGAACAUUCAGUAAAAUUAUAUCAUUACUAAGAUGCAGCGAUCCAGUUGAUAUAACUUUAGCUUUAUAUCUAUUAGGUAGGGUUACUAGAAAAGGUUUAAUCAAAUGUUGUACAUUGAAUAGAAGGUGUUUAUAUGGUGUCAUGUGAUUAGUUGCACCAGUAUCUAGAAUCCAAGGGUUUACACCUAAUUGUGAUGAUGAACAUGUAUGAAUAUCAACAGAAGCUACAACAUAUCUAUUGAACAAACCUGCAAAGUGAGCAAAGGCAGAGUUUUCCACAUUUGCUGCUUCAGAAGUGUGACCAACUGACAUUUGUGCUUGUUGAAACAUUGUCAGAAGAUGUUGGUAUUGUUCCUUGGUGAACCCAUGUGUUGAGGAGCUAGAAGCCUGUGGAAAAGAUUUUGUAGGAGUAACAGUUGCAUUCUCAGUUUGAACAUAUGAAGCAAAUUUCUUGUUUAUGGUAAAUUUGACUUGGUGGAAAACCAUGGAGUUUGUAGCAUUUAUCCACAUUGUGACCAGGCUUAUUACAAUACUUGCAAGUAAGAGAUGCAGUACCCUUUCUAGUCUCAAAGUUGAUUUUCUGAGUAAAGUUCUUAUUAGUGUUAGAAGAUGCAGGAGAUACUAGGAAAGAGGCUGUAUCACCAGAGAAACUUGGUGCAAGAGAUUGAGCUUACUUUCGGCUUUUAUCUUGUUGUAGAAUAGAGUAGGCUUUAUUGAUGGGUGGAAGGGGGUUCAUCAACAUAAUGGCACUUUUAAGUGUGGAAUAGGGAUCAUUCAGACCAUUGAGAAACUGAAACAAUUGUUGACCUUCAAUGAACUUAGGUAGGGCCCCACAUGAGCAAAUAGGCCCUAAAUAGGAGGAGUUUAAUUCAUCCCAUAAACUCCUCAUCUUUGUAAAGUAGGAAGCUAUAUCAGAUAAACCCUAAGUAGUUGAGAAGAUAUCCCUAUGAAUUUGUAUGUACUUAUACCCAUUCAAUUGGCCAAAUCUUUCAUUAAUGUCUUUCCAAACUUCUUUGGCAGUCUUAAAGCACAUAACACUGGUGGCUAUCUCCCUGGAUACAGAGUUUGUUAUCCAGGCUUUGACCAUAUGAUGACACCGCUCACAAUAUGGAAAAUAAGGUGAUUCAGGAGAGAGUUGUGGAACUCUUCCAUCCAACAUACUGAGCUUAUUCUUUGCAGUUAGAGAAGUAAGCACACUAGUACGCCAAAGAGAAAAACCACACCCAUUGAACGAUACCGACACUAACAGGAUUAUCAUAUGGAUGGAUAUAGAAAGGAUGCGAGGGAUCCAGGGUAAAUGAACAAAACCGUGUGUAGUACUCGAAGGAUUGGCGUUAUUCUCCAAGCUACCCAUAAUACAUAAUACCACAAUAGUAGAAUCUAAAGGAAAGGAUCAGAUUUACUCUAAACAAUUUUAGGAAAAUCAUAUGUUGACAAAACUAGUGAUAAUCCCGAACACACAAACCACAGAAUCUACAGAAAUUCGAAGGAAGCAAAUCAGAAGAAUCUUACCAGCCUUCUUCUAUAACUCGAAGAAGUGAGGUCUCGCGAACACACAAACCCUAGAAUUGAUUUGAGCCACGAAAACACCAUAGAACUUCGAGCAAAUGAAAACUUCUAUCGCAACAAGCUGUCCGAAGUCAGAAAUAAAGAAAUACCCAAUUUUCAUCGGCUAAAUCGAGAAUCUCCAGGUCCAUUGCGAAUGUCAAACGAGUACAAAAUUGACAGUAUUUUGAUGGAAAUACUAUCAUAGUAGAACCUAUAGUUACAGGAAUUAAGAUUCCACUCUGAUACCAUGUUAAUUUGAACCAUGUAAUAGCUAUGGAGAAUCCAUAGAAUAUUCAACCAUAGAUGAAGAGAGAAGAAGAGAGAAAAUGAAGAAUGAAAAAUGAGUCGGUCUAUUUUUG